Cinara cedri is the source of this 238-nucleotide non-coding RNA. The record is from the annotation of a GenBank genome assembly. NCBI's taxonomy places the organism in Eukaryota, Metazoa, Arthropoda, Insecta, Hemiptera, Aphididae.
GACAAAACAUCACCGAACUCGGCUCAGAAUGGUUUUUUCGUAAACAAUGGCUUAUCGUCUGCAUCCGUCUCUAACAUCCUGGAACGUCUUUUCAUAUGUAUAUCUGUAUGUCAUAUGUAUUUGAUUUUAAAAACUACGUGACUUUAGAUAAAUACUUGAAAACUUAACACAUUGUACAUUACAAUAGUUGUACUUAGCGGUAUAAAAAACGAUUUUCAGUCGAAUGCAUUAGUAUUAU